Molecule: ribosomal RNA, 163 nt
Filed under: Crepis leontodontoides
Lineage: Eukaryota; Viridiplantae; Streptophyta; Magnoliopsida; Asterales; Asteraceae
Description: 5.8S ribosomal RNA
Rfam family: 5.8S ribosomal RNA
About the family: 5.8S ribosomal RNA (5.8S rRNA) is a component of the large subunit of the eukaryotic ribosome. It is transcribed by RNA polymerase I as part of the 45S precursor that also contains 18S and 28S rRNA. Functionally, it is thought that 5.8S rRNA may be involved in ribosome translocation.
Source: RNAcentral
AAACGACUCUCGGCAACGGAUAUCUCGGCUCACGCAUCGAUUAAGAACGUAGCAAAAUGCGAUACUUGGUGUGAAUUGCAGAAUCCCGUGAACCAUCGAGUUUUUGAACGCAAGUUGCGCCCGAAGCCAUCCGGUUGAGGGCACGCCUGCCUGGGCGUCACGC